GAUGAAGAACGUAGCGAAAUGCGAUACGUAAUGUGAAUUGCAGAAUUCAGUGAAUCAUCGAGUCUUUGAACGCACAUUGCGCCCCCUGGUAUUCCGGGGGGCAUGCCUGUCCGAGCGUCAUUGCUGCCCUCAAGCACGGCUUGUGUGUUGGGCCUCCGUCCUCCUCCCGGGGGACGGGCCCGAAAGGCAGCGGCGGCACCGCGUCCGGUCCUCGAGCGUAUGGGGCUUCGUCACCCGCUCUUGUAGGCCCGGCCGGCGCUUGCCGACACAUCAAUCUUUUUUCCAGGUUGACCUCGGAUCAGGUGGGACUACCCGCUGAACUUAAGCAUAUCAAUAAGCGGAGGA
RNAcentral lists this unclassified non-coding RNA (345 nucleotides) under soil metagenome. RNAcentral's name for it is "partial contains 5.8S ribosomal RNA, internal transcribed spacer 2, and large subunit ribosomal RNA". The stretch from base 1 to 120 matches the Rfam family "5.8S ribosomal RNA", at positions 35 to 154 of the family's 154-position model. The record is from RNAcentral.